Molecule: ribosomal RNA, 468 nt
Filed under: uncultured bacterium
Lineage: Bacteria
Description: partial 16S ribosomal RNA
Rfam family: Bacterial small subunit ribosomal RNA
Source: RNAcentral
GACGAACGCUGGCGGCGUGCUUAACACAUGCAAGUCGAACGGAAAGGCCCUGCUUUUGUGGGGUGCUCGAGUGGCGAACGGGUGAGUAACACGUGAGUAACCUGCCCUUGACUUUGGGAUAACUUCAGGAAACUGGGGCUAAUACCGGAUAGGAUCUCCUGCUUCAUGGUGGGGGUUGGAAAGUUUCGGCGGUUGGGGAUGGACACGCGGCUUAUCAGCUUGUUGGUGGGGUAGUGGCUUACCAAGGCUUUGACGGGUAGCCGGCCUGAGAGGGUGACCGGCCACAUUGGGACUGAGAUACGGCCCGGACUCCUACGGGAGGCAGCAGUGGGGAAUAGUGCACAAUGGGCGGAAGCCUGAUGCAGCAACGCCGCGUGCGGGAUGACGGCCUUCGGGUUGUAAACCGCUUUCGCCUGUGACGAAGCGUGAGUGACGGUAAUGGGUAAAGAAGCACCGGCUAACUACGUG